UCUCCUCCCCGUCCCCCACCUCGUCGGCGGCUCUGCCAGAAAACCCAAACCCACCUCACCACCAUAUCUCGCCGCUGUCCAUAUCGAUCCGGACCCCACCCCGUCCACAUCACCUCACCGCCGGAGCCCCGCCGCAGCCUGUCGCCUGGCCUUCCCCCGCGCCGUGCCGGCUUGCUCCGCAGGUUAUAGAACCGGCAGGCUACGCUAACCCUAGCAUCCUCGGCUCGGCUGUAGAAGAGCACUGGGGGCGUGAGAGAGGGAGUCACCAGCCCUCGUGACCUCCUCCCGCUUCUACCUCGCCCCCGACGCUUGCGAAAAUGGGGAUCUAGGGAUACCCCAGCUCACUCCUUCCGUCUGUCAAGCAGGUGUGCCCGAGCAAGCAGCAAUUCCUAAUGAGACACCUCAACGGUGAGAAUUGAGCUAUAGAAAUGUAGUUAUGUUAUAGUCAAUUAUUGUUAUGCCUACCUAUGCAUCACAAACAAACUAAACACUUUUGGUACAAAAUUAUAGGUCUUUUCAGUCCUUGAAAGAUGCUGUUCUUCUCACAAAAUAAAGUACAAUGAAUCGUAAAAGAAAAGGUCAUAACUACAUCUAUUUAAUCAUUUUUUGCCAAUGUUGUAAAUCAUAUUCUCAUCAUGGCACAAAUGCGCUCAUCUUCGUAAUUCUAAGGUUUCGAUCAGAUUUUCUUUUUUUAGUAACUAAGGGUACCUAACAAAGUUUGUUACUUUGGAACUAACAGUAAAUAUAGCACUUCAACUCUUAUACUUUUCAUAUCCCCUCACAAAUCAUCCUUGCACUUUGCUUUCGAUAUUGGAAAAUCAUCUGAACAGUUUUGGCUACAUCUGACUGGUAAAUAAGAUAUAGUUAGCUACGGAAAUUAUUUGGUUGUCUGUUAUUAGUUUUGUAAAUUUUGUUUCCCAUCACAACAUGAUCCCUGCUGUUUCAUUUAUCUCUGUUCAGCCAAGUGGACCAGGGAUAACCAACAUUUAAGUAAGAGAAAGUUGCACAUACCAAAUUUUUGUGUAGUUGGGUACACAAUGCUCUGACUUAAGCUUACUAGAAAUUCCAUCAAUUCUUUUCUUUAUUAAAAUAAAAAAUAUUUCAAAAAUAUAUUUGGACGUAUCUUGCAGCUCUUUGUGAUACUCAAUGUUUUGAAGUGUCCAGGAUAGCAAAAAUAUUACAUCUCUACUUCAAUUUGUGAUACUCAAUGUUUUGAAGUGUCCAGGUCAGCAAAAAUAUUACAUCUCUACCUCAGUUUGUGAUACUCAGAUUUGAAGUGCCCUAUGUCAAAUUAGUAUAUAAUAUGAUCUUAGCAUACUAAAAUUUCAUAAGAUACGAAGGUAAAAUCAGUUUACUUUAAGGAUUACUCAAUUAUUUUUUUUCAUUAGAAUUCUCAUUUCAAACAUGAUAAGUUUGGUUCUUUUCUCACUUCCUCUCCUAUUUUUUGUAGUUUUCUAUUCUCCAGCACUACCAGAUUAUUUGUUUAAAACAUUGGAUAUGGAAUGUUGCUUGAGGAACCCUACAGCGCAGCAACCAUUUGUAGCUGUGCACCUUUAUUCUUAUUCAUUAUUAAAUUAAGAGAUUAUGGAUUUUUUACAUAUCUUUUUUUGCAGACUUUUACCCUAUGAAUUGCAAUUCCAAAGAGCCAGAACAAUGAACAGGUUCUUUUUUUCUAGGAAUUUUAGGUGCAGCCAUGAAAUUGCUGCUCAUGCAAGUUCUUUGGUUUUAAGAAGUGAGGUGGUAAUGUUGGUUUUUUUCAAUAUUCUAAAUGAUUACAGAUCUGAUACAAUGAUAUAAUUUUUUAUCUCCAGUUAUUUCCUUAGCAAACUUAUCAAUAUCGUCUCAUGCCAUAAUAUGUUUUCUCUUCAACAAAUCGAGUACUAAUUCAUUUUCAAGUAUCAGUUCAAAAGGAGGCCGACCACCUAUGAAUGGCAUCCUGCAGAGCCCCCUACUUAUGCCGUUAUUUACGCUUUAAUUAUUUAUAUUUGUAAUUGACCUAUCUUUGUUUCGUCUUUACGAUGAAUGAUUGCAAUGCUUGGCAAGAUCUUUGAGUUCUAUGGCGGUUGCCACUUGAUACCUA
This is a long non-coding RNA of Panicum hallii, 2080 nucleotides long. RefSeq lists it as uncharacterized. The transcript is spliced from 3 exons. NCBI's taxonomy places the organism in Eukaryota, Viridiplantae, Streptophyta, Magnoliopsida, Poales, Poaceae. The record is from RefSeq and is a predicted model, not a curated record.